RNAcentral lists this ribosomal RNA (175 nucleotides) under Cortinarius torvus. Its description in RNAcentral is "partial 25S ribosomal RNA". It matches the Rfam family "Eukaryotic large subunit ribosomal RNA", at positions 1 to 172 of the family's 3401-position model. Lineage: Eukaryota; Fungi; Basidiomycota; Agaricomycetes; Agaricales; Cortinariaceae. The record is from RNAcentral.
UGACCUCAAAUCAGGUAGGACUACCCGCUGAACUUAAGCAUAUCAAUAAGCGGAGGAAAAGAAACUAACAAGGAUUCCCCUAGUAACUGCGAGUGAAGCGGGAAAAGCUCAAAUUUAAAAUCUGGCAGUCUUUUGGCUGUCCGAGUUGUAAUCUAGAGAAGUGUUAUCCGCGCUG